This 550-nucleotide ribosomal RNA is filed under the name uncultured bacterium. RNAcentral's name for it is "bacterial SSU rRNA". It matches the Rfam family "Bacterial small subunit ribosomal RNA", at positions 355 to 896 of the family's 1533-position model. The record is from RNAcentral.
UAGGGAAUCUUCGGCAAUGGACGGAAGUCUGACCGAGCAACGCCGCGUGAGUGAAGAAGGUUUUCGGAUCGUAAAGCUCUGUUGUAAGAGAAGAACGAGUGUGAGAGUGGAAAGUUCACACUGUGACGGUAUCUUACCAGAAAGGGACGGCUAACUACGUGCCAGCAGCCGCGGUAAUACGUAGGUCCCGAGCGUUGUCCGGAUUUAUUGGGCGUAAAGCGAGCGCAGGCGGUUAGAUAAGUCUGAAGUUAAAGGCAGUGGCUCAACCAUUGUAGGCUUUGGAAACUGUUUAACUUGAGUGCAGAAGGGGAGAGUGGAAUUCCAUGUGUAGCGGUGAAAUGCGUAGAUAUAUGGAGGAACACCGGUGGCGAAAGCGGCUCUCUGGUCUGUAACUGACGCUGAGGCUCGAAAGCGUGGGGAGCGAACAGGAUUAGAUACCCUGGUAGUCCACGCCGUAAACGAUGAGUGCUAGGUGUUAGGUCCUUUCCGGGACUUAGUGCCGCAGCUAACGCAUUAAGCACUCCGCCUGGGGAGUACGACCGCAAGGUUG